This 480-nucleotide ribosomal RNA is filed under the name uncultured bacterium. RNAcentral describes it as "partial 16S ribosomal RNA". It matches the Rfam family "Bacterial small subunit ribosomal RNA", at positions 28 to 507 of the family's 1533-position model. The record is from RNAcentral.
GACGAACGCUGGCGGCGUGCUUAACACAUGCAGGUCGAACGAUGAAGAAAAGAAUCGAAGCUUCGGCAGAAAUUCAUUUCGGAUUAGUGGCAGACGGGUGAGUAACGCGUGAGCAACCUACCUCUUACAAAGGGAUAGCCUCGGGAAACCGGGAUUAAUACCAUAUAACAUUGUGACGAAGCAUUUCGAUGCAAUCAAAGCUACGGCGGUAAGAGAUGGGCUCGCGUCCCAUUAACCGGAUGGUGAGGUAACGGCUCACCAUAGUGACGAUGGGUAACCGGCCUGAGAGGGUGAACGGUCACACUGGAACUGAGACACGGUCCAGACUCCUACGGGAGGCAGCAGUGGGGAAUAUUGCACAAUGGAGGGAACUCUGAUGCAGCGACGCCGCGUGAGUGAUGAAGGAAUUCGUUUCGUAAAACUCUGUUCUAUGGGAAGAAAAGGACUGUACCAUAGGAGAAAGCUCCGGCUAAAUACGUG